AACGCACAUUGCGCCCGUUAGCACUCUAGCGGGCAUGCCUGUUCGAGCGUCAUUUCAACCCUCAGACCCUGUCUGGUGUUGGGGACCUACGGCCUCCGUAGUCCCUCAAAGCUAGUGGCGGGCUCCGCCAUAUCCCGAGCGCAGUAGCAUUCUCGCUCAGGGCUAUGGCAGACCCCCAGCCUCACCCAUUAAAUUUUUCAAGGUUGACCUCGGAUCAGGUAGGAAUACCCGCUGAACUUAA
Molecule: unclassified non-coding RNA, 241 nt
Filed under: uncultured fungus
Lineage: Eukaryota; Fungi
Description: sequence contains ITS2
Source: RNAcentral